AGCGAACGCUGGCGGCAGGCUUAACACAUGCAAGUCGAGCGGGCACUUUCGGGUGUCAGCGGCGGACGGGUGAGUAACGCGUGGGAACGUGCCCUCUGGUUCGGAAUAACCCAGGGAAACUUGAGCUAAUACCGGAUACGCCCUUUUGUGGUAAGGCUUGCUGCCGGAGGAUCGGCCCGCGUCUGAUUAGCUAGUUGGUGAGGUAACGGCUCACCAAGGCGACGAUCAGUAGCUGGUCUGAGAGGAUGAUCAGCCACACUGGGACUGAGACACGGCCCAGACUCCUACGGGAGGCAGCAGUGGGGAAUAUUGGACAAUGGGCGCCAGCCUGAUCCAGCCAUGCCGCGUGAGUGAUGAAGGCCUUAGGGUUGUAAAGCUCUUUUAUCCGGGACGAUAAUGACGGUACCGGAGGAAUAAGCCCCGGCUAACUUCGUG
Molecule: ribosomal RNA, 435 nt
Filed under: uncultured bacterium
Lineage: Bacteria
Description: partial 16S ribosomal RNA
Rfam family: Bacterial small subunit ribosomal RNA
Source: RNAcentral